Molecule: ribosomal RNA, 468 nt
Filed under: uncultured bacterium
Lineage: Bacteria
Description: partial 16S ribosomal RNA
Rfam family: Bacterial small subunit ribosomal RNA (bases 48-468)
Source: RNAcentral
GGGGGGGGGGGGGGGGGGGGGGGGGGGGGGCAGGGCGAGCGGGGGGGGCCGGCGGGGGGGGGGUGCUCGAGUGGCGAACGGGGGAGUAACACGUGAGUAACCUGCCCUUGACUUUGGGCUAACUUCAGGAAACUGGGGCUCCUACCGGAUAGGAGCUCCUGCUGCAUGGUGGGGGUUGGAAAGUUUCGGCGGUUGGGGAUGGACUCGCGGCUUAUCAGCUUGUUGGUGGGGUAGUGGCUUACCAAGGCUUUGACGGGUAGCCGGCCUGAGAGGGUGACCGGCCACAUUGGGACUGAGAUACGGCCCAGACUCCUACGGGAGGCAGCAGUGGGGAAUAUUGCACAAUGGGCGGAAGCCUGAUGCAGCAACGCCGCGUGCGGGAUGACGGCCUUCGGGUUGUAAACCGCUUGCGCCUGUGACGAAGCGUGAGUGACGGUAAUGGGUAAAGAAGCACCGGCUAACUACGUG